RNAcentral lists this ribosomal RNA (464 nucleotides) under uncultured bacterium. RNAcentral's name for it is "partial 16S ribosomal RNA". It matches the Rfam family "Bacterial small subunit ribosomal RNA", at positions 28 to 507 of the family's 1533-position model. The record is from RNAcentral.
GACGAACGCUGGCGGCGUGCUUAACACAUGCAAGUCGAACGGUAAGGCCCCUUCGGGGGUACACGAGUGGCGAACGGGUGAGUAACACGUGAGCAACCUGCCCUUGACUCUGGAAUAACAGUUGGAAACAGCUGCUAAUACUGGAUAUUCAUCGUCUCCUUCCUGGGGGGUGGUGGAAAGCUCCGGCGGUCAGGGAUGGGCUCGCGGCCUAUCAGCUUGUUGGUGAGGUAAUGGCUCACCAAGGCUUCGACGGGUAGCCGGCCUGAGAGGGCGACCGGCCACACUGGGACUGAGAUACGGCCCAGACUCCUACGGGAGGCAGCAGUGGGGAAUAUUGCACAAUGGGCGCAAGCCUGAUGCAGCAACGCCGCGUGCGGAUGACGGCCUUCGGGUUGUAAACCGCUUUCAGUAGGGACGAAGGGUGACUGAAGGUACCUACAGAAGAAGGACCGGCUAACUACGUG